UACGGAGGGUCCAAGCGUUGUCCGGAUUUAUUGGGUUUAAAGGGUACGUAGGCGGGACUUUAAGUCAGUGGUGAAAGCCUCCAGCUUAACUGGAGAAUUGCCAUUGAAACUGAAGUUCUUGAGUAUGGAUGAGGUGGUUGGAAUAUAACAUGUAGCGGUGAAAUGCAUAGAUAUGUUAUAGAACACCGAUUGCGAAGGCAGAUCACUAAACCAUUACUGACGCUGAGGUACGAAAGCGUGGGGAGCGAACAGG
RNAcentral lists this ribosomal RNA (253 nucleotides) under uncultured bacterium. RNAcentral describes it as "partial 16S ribosomal RNA". It matches the Rfam family "Bacterial small subunit ribosomal RNA", at positions 524 to 776 of the family's 1533-position model. The record is from RNAcentral.